RNAcentral lists this long non-coding RNA (1014 nucleotides) under Gallus gallus (chicken). RNAcentral's name for it is "lncRNA (ENSGALG00010020279.1)". The record is from RNAcentral. Lineage: Eukaryota; Metazoa; Chordata; Aves; Galliformes; Phasianidae.
CUCCAGCAGAGUAAUAUUAUACCAUUCUCACCAUAUAAACGCAUCUGAACUCUGCCCUUCCCCCUAACCUGCCAGCUUACCGGCCAUACUGCUGGACAGGGGAGGUUAAGGUUGGAUAUGAAGAGGAAGUUUUUCCCCCAGAGGGUGGUGACGCACUGAACAGGUUGCCCAAGGAGGCUGUGGAUGCCCCAUCCCUGCAGGCAUUCAAGGCCAGGCUGGAUGUGGCUCUGGGCAGCCUGGGCUGCUGGUUGGCGACCCUGCACAUAGCAGGGGGUUGGAACUGGAUGAGCAUUGUGGGCCUUUGCAACCCAGGCCAUUCUAGGAUCCUAGGAUUCUGUGAUCAAAGAAGGCUCUGGGGAGACCUGGGAGCGGCCUCUCAGUAUCUAAAGAGGGGCUGUAAGAAAGAGGGGAUAGGAUUUUUAGCGGGGUUUGUGGUGACAGGACAAGGGGAAAUGGUUUCAAACUGUAAGAGGGGAGAGUUAGAUUGAAGAUAAGGAAGAAGUUUCUUACAACAAGGGCAGUUUGCCCGGAGAGGCGGUGCUGCCCCAUCCCUGCAGACAGCCGAGGUCAGGGGAUGGGCUCUGAGCACUGAUGGGGCUGUGGGGGUCUCUGUGCAUUGGGGGAGUGGGACCAGAGGGCCUUGGAGGGCCCCUUCCAACUCAAACCAUUCUGUGAUUCUAUGAUUCUGACAUUAAUUUGAUUCCAAUUAAAUAACAUAAAAGCCUGGAAGACAGCUUGUAGAACAAUCCCUCCAGUCUUUACAAUAAGCUGUACAGAGCCAUAUGAGCAAGAAAGAUUCCUCAGUGCAAUGGGAACUUUGUUUUCUUGGUGUAAUGCUGCAGUAUUAACUCUGCAGGAGGAGAUGCUGAGCCCCGGGCACAGGCUGAGCAGAAACCUCAGCACAGCCCAGGGGAGCAGACAGCCCACAGUGCUCUGCAGGAGGAAUAGAAAGACUCCAGUAUUUGUAUUGAAAUAAAAACAUAGCCAGAUAUCUUCUUAUGGCUUGAGACCAUC